RNAcentral lists this ribosomal RNA (497 nucleotides) under uncultured bacterium. RNAcentral's name for it is "partial 16S ribosomal RNA". It matches the Rfam family "Bacterial small subunit ribosomal RNA", at positions 28 to 507 of the family's 1533-position model. The record is from RNAcentral.
GACGAACGCUGGCGGCGUGCCUAAUACAUGCAAGUUGAGCGCUGAAGGUUGGUACUUGUACCAACUGGAUGAGCAGCGAACGGGUGAGUAACGCGUGGGGAAUCUGCCUUUGAGCGGGGGACAACAUUUGGAAACGAAUGCUAAUACCGCAUAAAAACUUUAAACACAAGUUUUAAGUUUGAAAGAUGCAAUUGCAUCACUCAAAGAUGAUCCCGCGUUGUAUUAGCUAGUUGGUGAGGUAAAGGCUCACCAAGGCGAUGAUACAUAGCCGACCUGAGAGGGUGGUCGGCCACAGUGGGACGGAGACACGGCCCAAACGGCGACGGGAGGCAGCAGGAGGGAAUCGUGGGGAAGGGGCGAAAGUCUGAGCGAGCAACGCCGCGGGAGUGAAGAAGGUUGUCGGAUCGGGAAACUCGGUUGGUGGAGGAGAACGUGGGUGAGAGUGGAAAGCUCAGGAAGUGACGGUAACUACCCAGAAAGGGACGGCUAACUACGUG